AUUGAACGCUGGCGGAAUGCUUUACACAUGCAAGUCGAACGGCAGCACGGACUUCGGUCUGGUGGCGAGUGGCGAACGGGUGAGUAAUGUAUCGGAACGUGCCCAGUCGUGGGGGAUAACGUAGUGAAAAUUACGCUAAUACCGCAUACGAUCUAUGGAUGAAAGCGGGGGAUCGCAAGACCUCGCGCGAUUGGAGCGGCCGAUAUCAGAUUAGGUAGUUGGUAGGGUAAAGGCCUACCAAGCCAACGAUCUGUAGCUGGUCUGAGAGGACGACCAGCCACACUGGAACUGAGACACGGUCCAGACUCCUACGGGAGGCAGCGGUGGGGAAUUUUGGACAAUGGGCGAAAGCCUGAUCCAGCCAUUCCGCGUGCAGGAUGAAGGCCCUCGGGUUGUAAACUGCUCUUGUACAGAACGAAAAGGUUUCUACUAAUACUAGGAGCUCAUGACGGUACUGUAAGAAUAAGCACCGGCUAACUACGUGCCAGCCGCCGCCGUAA
Molecule: ribosomal RNA, 500 nt
Filed under: uncultured bacterium
Lineage: Bacteria
Description: partial 16S ribosomal RNA
Rfam family: Bacterial small subunit ribosomal RNA
Source: RNAcentral